This 469-nucleotide ribosomal RNA is filed under the name uncultured Pseudomonadota bacterium. RNAcentral describes it as "bacterial SSU rRNA". It matches the Rfam family "Bacterial small subunit ribosomal RNA", at positions 30 to 494 of the family's 1533-position model. Lineage: Bacteria; Pseudomonadati; Pseudomonadota. The record is from RNAcentral.
UGAACGCUGGCGGAAUGCUUUACACAUGCAAGUCGAACGGGGUGAGGGGGCAACUCCUCAUUCAGUGGCGAACGGGUGAGUAAUGCAUCGGAACGUGCCCCGUAGUGGGGGAUAACGCCGCGAAAGCGGCGCUAAUACCGCAUAUGCUCUACGGAGGAAAGUGGGGGACCUGACAGGGCCUCACGCUAUGGGAGCGGCCGAUGUCCGAUUAGCUUGUUGGUGGGGUAAUGGCCUACCAAGGCGACGAUCGGUAGCUGGUCUGAGAGGAUGAUCAGCCACACUGGGACUGAGACACGGCCCAGACUCCUACGGGAGGCAGCAGUGGGGAAUUUUGGACAAUGGGGGCAACCCUGAUCCAGCCAUGCCGCGUGCGGGAAGAAGGCCUUCGGGUUGUAAACCGCUUUUAGCCGGGAAGAAAAGGCGCAGGACAAUACCCUGCGUUCUUGACGGUACCGGCGGAAUAAGCACC